GAGCGCUGCAGUCAUUUAUUGGUUGAUUGUCCAGCUUGUAUUUACCUUCACUAAAGUGCUCCUUUUGCCACUGACGGACUCCGAUUAAGAUUCCAACUGACUGACAACAUUAUGGAAAGAAGGAGGGCGACCUUUCUGUUAAAGAGUAA
Etheostoma cragini (Arkansas darter) is the source of this 149-nucleotide long non-coding RNA. RefSeq lists it as uncharacterized. NCBI's taxonomy places the organism in Eukaryota, Metazoa, Chordata, Actinopteri, Perciformes, Percidae. The record is from RefSeq and is a predicted model, not a curated record. The transcript is spliced from 3 exons.